AAAAUGCUGAUAUGAAUCCGGGCUAGGGGGUGGGAUUUGAAUCCGGCCGAGCUAUCCCACAUUUCAGGAUCUGCAUUUUACAUUUUUAUCCUCAAAUUAGCACUCUCUCUAUCCCUCUCGAAAAAUUAGCACUCUCACUCUCUCUUUUCUCUCUCGAUGGAGUCCUGCUGGGUAUCGGAUCGUAUUCUUCAUUUCUGCAACACUUUUCGAGCCAAGAAUUUGAGCCAGCGACAUAGAAAUCAAGCAGAAAAAAAGAAAUAAAAGAAAAGAUGCAGAUCUUCGUUAAAACCCUUUUACUGGAAAAACAAUCACGCUCGAGGUCGAGAGCAGCGACACCAUCGACAAUGUCAAGGCCAAGAUUCAGGUUUUGAGUGUGCAGACAUGCUUUGAGAAGUCAUAAGCUUCAUGUUUGUGGUUGGGAUUCCUUCGGUUGGAUGCUCGUUUGCAAAGUGCAUUGGCUCAUGAAUAGAGCCAACUGAUACCAUUGACAGAAUUAAGGAACGGGUUGAGGAGAAAGAAGGAAUUCCUCCAGUGCAGCAAAGGCUCAUUUAUGCUGGCAGACGACAAAACUGCCAAAGACUACAACAUUGAGGGUGGCUCUGUUCUUCAUCUGGUCCUUGCUUUGAGGGGUGGUAGUCUAUCGGCUUCUGCUUAGGAAAUUCGCAAUAAACUGAGUUUAAAUUUCAUGUACUCAUGGGAUAUGAGUGAAUUCUGCUAAAAAAGCAGUUUGAGUUCCGACUCCAUUCCCUAUGUAUUUCUUGCUUUUCUUCUUUUUCCUUGGCUGAAAGAGGUUGUAAUCAUCAGUUCACUGGGCUGACUCCUAUCCCCAUAUGGUAAUUUGUAACUCCAGUUCAUUGCGAAUAUUUUACUUGUGUUAAUUAUUACGGAAGAAAUUAAAUCUUGAAAAUU
Molecule: long non-coding RNA, 909 nt
Organism: Sesamum indicum (sesame)
Lineage: Eukaryota; Viridiplantae; Streptophyta; Magnoliopsida; Lamiales; Pedaliaceae
Source: RefSeq, a predicted model, not a curated record